CGCUCCAUCGAUCGCGUCGGUGCCCCCAAAAGGGGCUUAAAUGGGAACGCGGUGCGGGAGGAAACUCCCUAAUCCGUGGCUGUCCCUGCAACUGUGAGCGGCGAGCAAGGCAAGGACGGACGCCCCAUGAUCGGGACGGCCAGCCACUGGAGCAAUCCGGGAAGGCCCCUGCCAAGGCUAUGACCCGCAAGCCAGGAGACCUGCCGAACGCAAGGGUCGCUC
Molecule: non-coding RNA, 222 nt
Filed under: Sphingobium chungbukense
Lineage: Bacteria; Pseudomonadati; Pseudomonadota; Alphaproteobacteria; Sphingomonadales; Sphingobiaceae
Source: RNAcentral